RNAcentral lists this ribosomal RNA (253 nucleotides) under uncultured bacterium. RNAcentral describes it as "partial 16S ribosomal RNA". It matches the Rfam family "Bacterial small subunit ribosomal RNA", at positions 524 to 776 of the family's 1533-position model. The record is from RNAcentral.
UACGUAGGGGGCGAGCGUUGUCCGGAUUUAUUGGGCGUAAAGAGCGUGUAGGCGGCCAGGUAGGUCCGUUGUGAAAACUCGAGGCUCAACCUCGAGACGUCGGCGGAAACCCUCUGGCUAGAGUCCGGAAGAGGAGAGUGGAAUUCCUGGUGUAGCGGUGAAAUGCGCAGAUAUCAGGAGGAACACCCGUGGCGAAAGCGGCUCUCUGGGACGGUACUGACGCUGAGACGCGAAAGCGUGGGGAGCAAACAGG